GUCAGGAUGGUUGAGUGGUCUAAGGUUCUAGACUCAACUUUUGGUCCUCGUGAGAAGGCGUGGGUUCAAAUCCCACUUUUGACA
Ipomoea nil (Japanese morning glory) is the source of this 84-nucleotide transfer RNA. It matches the Rfam family "tRNA". Rfam says of the family: Transfer RNA (tRNA) molecules are approximately 80 nucleotides in length. Their secondary structure includes four short double-helical elements and three loops (D, anti-codon, and T loops). The record is from Rfam. NCBI's taxonomy places the organism in Eukaryota, Viridiplantae, Streptophyta, Magnoliopsida, Solanales, Convolvulaceae.